CAUAACCAAGGGCAAGGACCAUGAAGCACUUGAAGGGCCCAUGACCAGAGGCAGACUUAAACAAGCCCAACACGUCAUAGAGACAAGGCUGGUCAUUUGUAUAGCUGCCAUUGAUGAUGAUUGAAGGCCCAAGUGGAGAAAGAUGAAGGCCUAGAGGCAGAGGCACUACCAAGACUACUAAUUGUUGCUGAAGGCCCAAACUAACUUGAAGGCCCAAGUUAAAUAAGUUUUUAGUUAUAAUUUAUUUU
RNAcentral lists this long non-coding RNA (248 nucleotides) under Glycine max (soybean). Its description in RNAcentral is "long non-coding RNA (GMAX_LNC003664)". Lineage: Eukaryota; Viridiplantae; Streptophyta; Magnoliopsida; Fabales; Fabaceae. The record is from RNAcentral.